RNAcentral lists this ribosomal RNA (409 nucleotides) under Sordariomycetes sp. genotype 32. RNAcentral's name for it is "eukaryotic LSU rRNA". It matches the Rfam family "Eukaryotic large subunit ribosomal RNA", at positions 133 to 549 of the family's 3401-position model. Lineage: Eukaryota; Fungi; Ascomycota; Sordariomycetes. The record is from RNAcentral.
UCGGCCCGAGUUGUAAUUUGUAGAGGAUGCUUUUGGUGAGGUGCCUUCUGAGUUCCCUGGAACGGGACGCCAGAGAGGGUGAGAGCCCCGUAUAGUCGGCCACCGAUCCUUUGUAAAGCUCCUUCGACGAGUCGAGUAGUUUGGGAAUGCUGCUCAAAAUGGGAGGUAUAUCUCUUCUAAAGCUAAAUAUAGGCCAGAGACCGAUAGCGCACAAGUAGAGUGAUCGAAAGAUGAAAAGCACUUUGAAAAGAGGGUUAAAUAGCACGUGAAAUUGUUGAAAGGGAAGCGCUUGUGACCAGACUUGUGCCGGGCUGAUCAUCCAGUGUUCUCACUGGUGCACUCGACCCGGCUCAGGCCAGCGUCGGUUUUCGUGGGGGGAUAAAAGCUUCGGGAACGUGGCACCUUCGGG